GUAGUCAUAUGCUUGUCUCAAAGAUUAAGCCAUGCAUGUCUAAGUAUAAGCAAUUAUACAGCGAAACUGCGAAUGGCUCAUUAUAUAAGUUAUCGUUUAUUUGAUAGUACUUUACUACAUGGAUAACCGUGGUAAUUCUAGAGCUAAUACAUGCUAAAAAUCCCGACUUCAGAAGGGAUGUAUUUAUUAGAUAAAACNAUGCCCUCCGGGGCUCACUGGUGAUUCAUGAUAACUCCUCGAAUCGCAUGGCCUUGCGCCGGCGAUGGUUCAUUCAAAUUUCUUCCCUAUCAACUUUCGAUGUUUGGGUAUUGGCCAAACAUGGUUGCAACGGGUAACGGAGGGUUAGGGCUCGACCCCGGAGAAGGAGCCUGAGAAACGGCUACUACAUCCAAGGAAGGCAGCAGGCGCGCAAAUUACCCAAUCCCGACACGGGGAGGUAGUGACAAUAAAUACUGAUACAGGGCUCUUUUGGGUCUUGUAAUUGGAAUGAGUACAAUUUAAAUCCCUUAACGAGGAACAAUUGGAGGGCAAGUCUGGUGCCAGCAGCC
RNAcentral lists this ribosomal RNA (548 nucleotides) under uncultured fungus. Its description in RNAcentral is "SSU rRNA". It matches the Rfam family "Eukaryotic small subunit ribosomal RNA", at positions 20 to 575 of the family's 1831-position model. Lineage: Eukaryota; Fungi. The record is from RNAcentral.